Chryseobacterium indologenes is the source of this 32-nucleotide non-coding RNA. The record is from Rfam. Lineage: Bacteria; Pseudomonadati; Bacteroidota; Flavobacteriia; Flavobacteriales; Weeksellaceae.
AAAACGGAAUCCGAAAAGUUUUAGAGUAGGAA